UAGGGAAUCUUCCGCAAUGGACGCAAGUCUGACGGAGCAACGCCGCGUGAGUGAAGAAGGAUUUCGGUUCGUAAAACUCUGUUGUUAGAGAAGAACAGCGCAUAGAGUAACUGUUAUGCGUGUGACGGUAUCUAACCAGAAAGCCACGGCUAACUACGUGCCAGCAGCCGCGGUAAUACGUAGGUGGCAAGCGUUGUCCGGAUUUAUUGGGCGUAAAGCGAGCGCAGGCGGUCAAUUAAGUCUGAUGUGAAAGCCCCCGGCUCAACCGGGGAGGGUCAUUGGAAACUGGUUGACUUGAGUGCAGAAGAGGAGAGUGGAAUUCCAUGUGUAGCGGUGAAAUGCGUAGAUAUAUGGAGGAACACCAGUGGCGAAGGCGACUCUCUGGUCUGUAACUGACGCUGAGGCUCGAAAGCGUGGGUAGCAACAGG
Molecule: ribosomal RNA, 428 nt
Filed under: Bacteroidota bacterium
Lineage: Bacteria; Pseudomonadati; Bacteroidota
Description: Bacteroidetes bacterium partial 16S ribosomal RNA
Rfam family: Bacterial small subunit ribosomal RNA
Source: RNAcentral